Molecule: transfer RNA, 57 nt
Filed under: Capra hircus (goat)
Lineage: Eukaryota; Metazoa; Chordata; Mammalia; Artiodactyla; Bovidae
Also listed under: 1 other name
Rfam family: tRNA
About the family: Transfer RNA (tRNA) molecules are approximately 80 nucleotides in length. Their secondary structure includes four short double-helical elements and three loops (D, anti-codon, and T loops).
Source: Rfam by way of RNAcentral
UGGCUCAGAGGUUAAAGCGUCUGCCUCCGAUGCGGGAGACCCAGGUUCGAUCCCUGG